This 1147-nucleotide ribosomal RNA is filed under the name Nocardiopsis sp. OAct748. RNAcentral's name for it is "bacterial SSU rRNA". It matches the Rfam family "Bacterial small subunit ribosomal RNA", at positions 28 to 1176 of the family's 1533-position model. The record is from RNAcentral. Lineage: Bacteria; Bacillati; Actinomycetota; Actinomycetes; Streptosporangiales; Nocardiopsidaceae.
GACGAACGCUGGCGGCGUGCUUAACACAUGCAAGUCGAGCGGUAAGGCCCUUCGGGGUACACGAGCGGCGAACGGGUGAGUAACACGUGAGCAACCUGCCCCUGACUCCGGGAUAAGCGGUGGAAACGCCGUCUAAUACCGGAUACGACCCGCCACCUCAUGGUGGAGGGUGGAAAGUUUUUCGGUCAGGGAUGGGCUCGCGGCCUAUCAGCUUGUUGGUGGGGUAACGGCCUACCAAGGCGAUUACGGGUAGCCGGCCUGAGAGGGCGACCGGCCACACUGGGACUGAGACACGGCCCAGACUCCUGCGGGAGGCAGCAGUGGGGAAUAUUGCGCAAUGGGCGAAAGCCUGACGCAGCGACGCCGCGUGGGGGAUGACGGCCUUCGGGUUGUAAACCUCUUUUACCACCAACGCAGGCUCGAAGUUCUCUUCGGGUUGACGGUAGGUGGGGAAUAAGGACCGGCUAACUACGUGCCAGCAGCCGCGGUAAUACGUAGGGUCCGAGCGUUGUCCGGAAUUAUUGGGCGUAAAGAGCUCGUAGGCGGCGUGUCGCGUCUGCUGUGAAAGACCGGGGCUUAACUCCGGUUCUGCAGUGGAUACGGGCAUGCUAGAGGUAGGUAGGGGAGACUGGAAUUCCUGGUGUAGCGGUGAAAUGCGCAGAUAUCAGGAGGAACACCGGUGGCGAAGGCGGGUCUCUGGGCCUUACCUGACGCUGAGGAGCGAAAGCAUGGGGAGCGAACAGGAUUAGAUACCCUGGUAGUCCAUGCCGUAAACGUUGGGCGCUAGGUGUGGGGACUUUCCACGGUUUCCGCGCCGUAGCUAACGCAUUAAGCGCCCCGCCUGGGGAGUACGGCCGCAAGGCUAAAACUCAAAGGAAUUGACGGGGGCCCGCACAAGCGGCGGAGCAUGUUGCUUAAUUCGACGCAACGCGAGAACCUUACCAAGGUUUGACAUCACCCGUGGACUCGCAGAGAUGUGAGGUCAUUUAGUUGGCGGGGUGACAGGUGCGUGCAUGACUGUCGUCAGCUCGUGUCGUGAGAUGUUGGGUCAGUCCCGCACGGAGCGCAUCCUUGUCAAUGCUGCAGCACGUAUGGGUGGGGGACUCAUGGGGAGAACUGCCUGGGGUUCACCUUCGAAGGAAAGUUG